This 459-nucleotide ribosomal RNA is filed under the name uncultured bacterium. Its description in RNAcentral is "partial 16S ribosomal RNA". It matches the Rfam family "Bacterial small subunit ribosomal RNA", at positions 338 to 795 of the family's 1533-position model. The record is from RNAcentral.
CCUACGGGAGGCAGCAGGGAGGAAUAUUGGUCAAUGGGCGCGAGCCUGAACCAGCCAAGUCGCGUGAGGGAAGACGGUCCUAUGGAUUGUAAACCUCUUUUGUCGGGGAGCAAAAGACGCCACGCGUGGCGUUCCGAGAGUACACGAAGAAAACGCAUCGGCUAACUCCGUGCCAGCAGCCGCGGUAAUACGGAGGAUGAGAGCGUUAUCCGGAUUUCUUGGGGUAAAAGGGUGCGCAGGCGGAAGAUCAAGUCAGCGGUAAAAUUGAGAGGCUCAACCUCUUCGAGCCGUUGAAACUGGUUUUCUUUAGUGAGUGAGAAGUAUGCGGAAUGCGUUGUGUAGCGGUGAAAUGCAUAGAUAUCACGCAGAACUCCGAUUGCGAAGGCAGCAUACCGGCGCUCAACUGACGCUCAUGCACGAAAGUGUGGGUAUCGAACAGGAUUAGAUACCCUUGUAGUC